AGCUCAUGCAUCAAAGAUUUAAUUUGUUUUCUUUGAUUUUUCUUAAUUUCAGACAACCAGAUGGUCAGCCUUGCUUGUUGGGAUAAUCUAUGGAAAGAUGAGAUAUGACUACCUGAAGCCCAUUGCAGAGGAAGAGAGGAGGAUUGAGGCAGAGGAGAAAAAGGCUAGGGAAGAGGCUGAGCGCAUUGCAAAACAGCUGGCAGAAGCCAAUGAAGACACCAUACUGAAAUGAAUCAUAACUGGGAAAUAUUCCUUUUUUUGUGAAUAAAGAAAAUGGACCUGUG
Molecule: non-coding RNA, 284 nt
Organism: Lepisosteus oculatus (spotted gar)
Lineage: Eukaryota; Metazoa; Chordata; Actinopteri; Semionotiformes; Lepisosteidae
Source: RefSeq, a predicted model, not a curated record